AUGCACGUGAGAUGCGAGUGUGCUCCAGCAUGCAUGCAUGGGCUAGGAGAGAGAGAAGCUUGGACUAUUGAGGAGGAACAUGCACUGAUUAAUGCCCAUCGGGUAUAUGGGAACAGAUUGGCAGAAAUAGCAAAAGUUCUUCCUAGAAGGAAUCGGGUACUUCUAUUUGUUCUUAGGUUCUUCUCACCUAUAGCUAAAGUCAAAGACGACAAAACCAAGUGGAUUAUUGGAGUUACAAGAUACACAAAAUCAUCGGAACGAAGAUCUGAAUCACCCUCCCGCCUCGAGAGAAAUCAGUUUAGUCAUUCAGGUUCUGAUGAUGAGCAGCCACCUCAUUCUGGUCCGAGAGCCAAAAUCCGAUUCUCCUCAUUCUGGUCCGAGAGCCAAAAUCCGAUUCUCCUCGGUGUUCGAGUGCAGCUAUGCGGGGUGAUGGGGGAUAAAUUGCCUCCCCUUCUCCUCCCGUCCUCGCCUCCGCCCCCGUCUCCCCCUCGUGCUCACGCCCCUCUCCUUCGUUCCUCCGACGCCGUGUUCCCCUCCUCCCCUCCUCGUCGUUCUUCUCCCGCCACCGAGCUCGUCACCGCUGCUCUCCCCGCCGAGCUCGCCGCACUCGCGUUGUCUGGACAUGGACACAUCCGGGCGGAUCCGGUCGCUAGGCGGCAUGGGGCUGUGGAUCCGACGAGCUCACUGCGGCGGCCGGCAGUUUCCUCUGCAAGAGAGAGAGAUAGAGAGGAAAGUGAGAGAGAGUGCCAGGGGAGGAGAAGAAAAGAGUGGAGGGAGAGAUGCGGCAGGGCAGCGGUCAGUCCGUCGGUGCCGCACACGGAGGAGACGCGGCAAGGAGGAGCACGAGCCACUGCAGCCACUGGAGCAGUGGGUCGUCGCGCCAUCGACGGGAGGAAACCGUGCGGAGUGCGCCGUUGCCACCGGUGCGCCCUAGGCGACGCCGACAGGCACCAGUGGAUCGAUCCGGUGCCAAAAACUGUCCCAGGCCCGCUGCAUCUCCGGCUCUGGCGAGGCACUCCUGCAGAGGCCAUUCUCUUCCUCACCACGCAUCGCUGGGAGGAUCCAGAAGAGGGGGAGCGGCAACAAAUCGCGACGGUAAGCCAUGCCCACGCCCUCUUCCUCCUCACUUUUAUUUUCAUCUCUGAGCUCGAUCUGCUGGUGCAUUUCCUCCUCCCUAAUCGCCUCUUGGGACCUGGCAGGAGGAGCAUGGGCUGCAAAUUUGGAUGA
RNAcentral lists this ribosomal RNA (1227 nucleotides) under Triticum aestivum (bread wheat). Its description in RNAcentral is "partial small subunit ribosomal RNA". The record is from RNAcentral. Lineage: Eukaryota; Viridiplantae; Streptophyta; Magnoliopsida; Poales; Poaceae.